GACGUAGGGGGCGAGCGUUGUCCGGAUUUAUUGGGCGUAAAGAGCGCGUAGGCGGCCCGGAAAGUCGGAUGUGAAAACCCGGGGCUCAACCCCGGGCCUGCAUCCGAUACUCCCGGGCUGGAGGCAGGUAGGGGAGAUCGGAAUUCCUGGUGUAGCGGUGAAAUGCGCAGAUAUCAGGAGGAACACCGGUGGCGAAGGCGGAUCUCUGGGCCUGUCCUGACGCUGAAGCGCGAAAGCUAGGGGAGCGAACAGG
RNAcentral lists this ribosomal RNA (253 nucleotides) under uncultured bacterium. Its description in RNAcentral is "partial 16S ribosomal RNA". It matches the Rfam family "Bacterial small subunit ribosomal RNA", at positions 524 to 776 of the family's 1533-position model. The record is from RNAcentral.